CAAGGAACGAGCGCAUUUAUUAGAAUAAAAACCAAUCGGGUUUCGGCCCGUUUAUUGGUGAAUCUGAAUAACUUUGCCAAUCGCACAGUCCUAGUACUGGCGAUGUAUCCUUCAAAUGUCUGCCUUAUCAACUUUCGAUGGUAGGUUAUACGCCUACCAUGGUAUUAACGGGUAACGGAGAAUAAGGGUUCGACUCCGGAGAGGGAGCCUGAGAAACGGCUACCACAUCCAAGGAAGGCAGCAGGCGCGCAAAUUACCCACUUUCAGAACGAAGAGGUAGUGACGAAAAAUAACGAGACAGUCCUCUUCGAGGUCUGUCAUCGGAAUGGGUACAAUUUAAAUCCUUUAACGAGGAUCUAUUGGAGGGCAAGUCUGGUGCCAGCAGCCGCGGUAAUUCCAGCUCCAAUAGCGUAUAUUAAAGUUGUUGCGGUUAAAACGCUCGUAGUUGGAUUUGCGGCCUCGGAGAACGGUCCCCCGAAAGGGUGGUCACUGUCUCUCCUAGCCUAAAUUCGAGUCGUCUCUAGGUGCUCUUAACCGGGUGCUUAGAGUGACUAGAACGUUUACUUUGAUAAAAUUAGAGUGCUUAAAGCAGGCGAAAUAGCCUGAAUAAAGUGCAUGGAAUAAUGGAAUAGGACCUCGGUUCUAUUUUGUUGGUUUUC
This 659-nucleotide ribosomal RNA is filed under the name Nematoda environmental sample. Its description in RNAcentral is "SSU rRNA". It matches the Rfam family "Eukaryotic small subunit ribosomal RNA", at positions 191 to 852 of the family's 1831-position model. The record is from RNAcentral. Lineage: Eukaryota; Metazoa; Nematoda.